GACGAACGCUGGCGGCGUGCUUAACACAUGCCAGUCGAACGGAAAGGCCCUGCUUUUGUGGGGUGCUCGAGUGGCGAACGGGUGAGUAACACGUGAGUAACCUGCCCUUGACUUUGGGAUAACUUCAGGAAACUGGGGCUAAUACCGGAUAGGAGCUCCUGCUGCAUGGUGGGGGUUGGAAAGUUUCGGCGGUUGGGGAUGGACUCGCGGCUUAUCAGCUUGUUGGUGGGGUAGUGGCUUACCAAGGCUUUGACGGGUAGCCGGCCUGAGAGGGUGACCGGCCACAUUGGGACUGAGAUACGGCCCAGACUCCUACGGGAGGCAGCAGUGGGGAAUAUAGCACAAUGGGCGGAAGCCUGAUGCAGCAACGCCGCGUGCGGGAUGACGGCCUUCGGGUUGUAAACCGCUUUCGCCUGUGACGAAGCGUGAGGGACGGUAAUGGGUAAAGAAGCACCGGCUAACUACGU
Molecule: ribosomal RNA, 467 nt
Filed under: uncultured bacterium
Lineage: Bacteria
Description: partial 16S ribosomal RNA
Rfam family: Bacterial small subunit ribosomal RNA
Source: RNAcentral